AAUUGCCCCUUAUUAAUCAGGAGCACAAGGUGCUACCUGCUCCAGAUGGGUGUAUACGUGUAGUUACUAGGGGAGUGCACCAAAAAUAAUAUUCCAUACUGAACCCGUUUCAGUGCUUCAGAAAGCAGGCUGAUUCAACUUGGACCGCUUCCAGGGGAAGCCGCUUUGCCAUGGAUCUGAAUCUGAACCACAGCUUGGAAAUUCACACCUUCUCGUUCCCUAUAACAUUUUUGCUUUUUGACAGAGUUGGACAAAAGGGCAGGUGCAGUAGCCUCUUCUGAGUGAAUUAAGCCCGCCAAAUUUCAGUUUAAGAAGUGGAGGAUUUGUGUGUGUGCAAACUUCUUUUUAAAGGAAACUGCUCAUAACUUAUGUGGAACCUGCUUUUUAACUCCACUUCCAGGCUGAAGACCAAAAGGUGCUCAUUUCUCGAGAACACAUGUCAAGGAGAUGUUGGGGCUUUAGUAAAAUGUCCUAUUGCACAGAGCUGCUGGAGUCAGCCAAACACUGUGCCUCACUUAAUCGGCGUGGAAAUUGAAAUUGGAAAAAUCCACCAGAGGCCGGGAAGGUGUGCCAAAGGAAACAGUGGGAUUUACUGGUAAACAUCUGUUAACAAGAGGCUGAGUUCAGAAGAACUGAUGCUAGGAGAGAGGGGGAUUCCUGUUUUUGCAAGGUCUGCUUUCUAACUACUUUGGGGAUGGGCGUUAUAGAAUGUGUAGAAGAAUGUGUGGAAAGGGUUGCAAGGCCAUGCUGACUAGCCCCGCCCACUACCACUACACUCCCCAACAUCCACACAUUCAACGGGUGUCAAAAGCAGAACAGGUACAGCUACUUCCAACAUCCAUUGAAUGCACAAACCUCCAGAGAGUAUGACGGUGAAAUGCAAGGGUGGUAAUGGGUGCGGCUAGACUGUGGCUGCCAUACAUUGAAAGCACAUUUCCCCCCAAAGAAUUCUGGAGACUGCAGUUUGAUAAGGGUGUUGGGAAUUACAGCUCUGUAGAGGGUGAACUACAGUUCCCAGGAUUUUUUGGGGGGGGUGCUUUAAAUGAGGUUUGGGUGUCUGGUGUGUACACAGUGUGCAUGGCCCUGCUAUCCCUUCUGUGUGUUCCUUCAAUGCAUCAAGGGGUUUAUAUGGGAUACCCACAUGUCCAAAUCUCAGCAAAUGGUAUUUGCAAGGACAUGGAUUCAUUCACACAAUUGCCUCUCUUCAUGAGGAACGCAGGUUUCCACUACCACCCCAAGAUGAUGUCUUAGGACAAGAAUAGGGAACCUGUGGCCCUCCAGAUGUACUUGCCCUUCAGCUCCUUAUAUACUCUGGGCUCCUAAACCACACCCUAACCAUUGCUCCUGGCAGUGAAGGGGUAUCAGGGAUCACUUGCUCACAAGUAGUCUCUGGGUCUGUAGAUGCAUCCUCUGCCGUCACUGUUUAGCUUGGACCCAAAGCCUCUGGCACCGGUGCUCUCAAGGACCAGAGGGGGGCAGCUCCACUUCCUCCUCUGACAUUUUCAGAAGUUCUUCCUCAGGUAUCAACCAAGCAGUCCCAUCGAGGGAAUCCUCCGCAUUAGAAACAUGGGGCCCUGCCUGCUCCUCAAGUUCUCUGACCUAUGGUGUGCCUUCUUCAUCCUCUGAGGACUCAGGGUCUGGCAUCUUUGCUGGGGCGGGGAUUGAAGCAAAGGGUAUUAAUGACCACCUGUCAUUAAUGCUGUCAUUCAAAGAUUCCUGACCUGAGCAGAAGGUUGAGCUAGAUGGUCUCCAAGGUUCCUUCCAAUGCUAACAUUCUGUGAUUCCAUGAUUCUGCCAACCCACCUCCAGGGUUGGAGGACAAAGAGUCUGCAAAGUUCACAAGGAACCUUUUUUUCCCCCUUGUCUGCACUGCAGGACACCACCCAAGCACAAUGUGACAGACAGAUCAGUGUACCUUGCACCUGCUAAUGAUGAGAUGAUUUUGUGGUGAUGUGAACUGCACUUCCAGAUUCUAAACGCAAUAGGGUGAGGGUGGGGUAGAGAAAGGUGCAAUCAUGCAGUUUAUUUCCUGGCUGCCAUGUUAAAACAGUGCUAAUUGCUGUACAAGAGCCCUAAGCAGUUGGGUGAAGCCACUUAAUUACAACGUCUUGUAUACAGUGCUCAAUUAAACAGGAUGAUGUGCAGACAAGCAUCAACUACCCUCUUCUUUA
Rhineura floridana is the source of this 2171-nucleotide long non-coding RNA. RefSeq lists it as uncharacterized. The record is from RefSeq and is a predicted model, not a curated record. Lineage: Eukaryota; Metazoa; Chordata; Lepidosauria; Squamata; Rhineuridae. The transcript has 3 exons.